GGCGAGUGAAGCGGGAACAGCUCAAAUUUGAAAUCUGGCCCUCGGGUCCGAGUUGUAAUUUGUAGAGGAUGCUUUUGGUGCGGUGCCUUCCGAGUUCCCUGGAACGGGACGCCUUAGAGGGUGAGAGCCCCGUACGGUUGGACGCCUAGCCUCUGUAAAGCUCCUUCGACGAGUCGAGUAGUUUGGGAAUGCUGCUCUAAAUGGGAGGUAUAUUUCUUCUAAAGCUAAAUACUGGCCAGAGACCGAUAGCGCACAAGUAGAGUGAUCGAAAGAUGAAAAGCACUUUGAAAAGAGGGUUAAAUAGCACGUGAAAUUGUUGAAAGGGAAGCGUUUAUCACCAGACUUUUUCUAGGGGGAUCAUCCGGUGUUCUCACCGGUGCACUUCCCCUGGUUGAGGCCAGCAUCGGUUUUCGGAGGGGGAUAAAAGCUUCGGGAAUGUGACUCCCUCGGGAGUGUUAUAGCCCGUUGCAUAAUACCCUUCUGGGGACCGAGGUUCGCGCAUCUGCAAGGAUGCUGGCAUAAUGGUGAUCAACGACCCGUCUUGAAACACGGACCAAGGAGUCGAACAUUUAUGCGAGUGUUUGGGUGUCAAACCCUCACGCGUAAUGAAAGUGAACGGAGGUGAGAGCCCUUACGGGUGCAUCAUCGACCGAUCCUGAUGUCUUCGGAUGGAUUUGAGUAAGAGCAUAACUGUUCGGACCCGAAAGAUGGUGAACUAUGCGUGGAUAGGGUGAAGCCAGGAGAAAUCCUGGUGGAGGCUCGCAGCGGUUCUGACGUGCAAAUCGAUCGUCAAAUCUGCGCAUGGGGGCGAAAGACUAAU
Molecule: ribosomal RNA, 820 nt
Filed under: Nigrospora sphaerica
Lineage: Eukaryota; Fungi; Ascomycota; Sordariomycetes; Amphisphaeriales; Apiosporaceae
Description: partial large subunit ribosomal RNA
Rfam family: Eukaryotic large subunit ribosomal RNA
Source: RNAcentral